GACGAACGCUGGCGGCGUGCUUAACACAUGCAAGUCGAGCGGUAAGGCCCUUUCGGGGGUACGACGAGCGGCGAACGGGUGGAGUAACACGUGGGUGACCUGCCCUCAGCUCUGGGAUAAGCCUGGGAAACCGGGGUCUAAUACCGGAUAUGACUCCAUGACGCAUGUUGUGGGGUGGAAAGCCUUGUGCGGCUGAGGAUGGGCCCGCGGCCUAUCAGCUUGUUGGUGGGGGGAU
This 235-nucleotide ribosomal RNA is filed under the name uncultured bacterium. Its description in RNAcentral is "partial 16S ribosomal RNA". It matches the Rfam family "Bacterial small subunit ribosomal RNA", at positions 28 to 261 of the family's 1533-position model. The record is from RNAcentral.